Molecule: non-coding RNA, 44 nt
Organism: Methylobacterium platani
Lineage: Bacteria; Pseudomonadati; Pseudomonadota; Alphaproteobacteria; Hyphomicrobiales; Methylobacteriaceae
Source: Rfam
AGAAGGGCUUCCGGGGCGUCGCUUCGGGGGCCUUUUUCUUUUGC